GACGAACGCUGGCGGCGUGCCUAAUACAUGCAAGUAGAACGCUGAAGCUUGGUGCUUGCACCGAGCGGAUGAGUUGCGAACGGGUGAGUAACGCGUAGGUAACCUGCCUGGUAGCGGGGGAUAACUAUUGGAAACGAUAGCUAAUACCGCAUAACAGUAGAUAUCGCAUGAUAUGUGCUUGAAAGGUGCAAUUGCAUCACUACCAGAUGGACCUGCGUUGUAUUAGCUAGUUGGUGAGGUAACGGCUCACCAAGGCAACGAUACAUAGCCGACCUGAGAGGGUGAUCGGCCACACUGGGACUGAGACACGGCCCAGACUCCUACGGGAGGCAGCAGUAGGGAAUCUUCGGCAAUGGACGGAAGUCUGACCGAGCAACGCCGCGUGAGUGAAGAAGGUUUUCGGAUCGUAAAGCUCUGUUGUAAGAGAAGAACGAGUGUGAGAGUGGAAAGUUCACACUGUGACGGUGUCUUACCAGAAAGGGACGGCUAACUACGUGCCAGCAGCCGCGGUAAUACGUAGGUCCCGAGCGUUGUCCGGAUUUAUUGGGCGUAAAGCGAGCGCAGGCGGUUAGAUAAGUCUGAAGUUAAAGGCUGUGGCUUAACCAUAGUACGCUUUGGAAACUGUUUAACUUGAGUGCAAGAGGGGAGAGUGGAAUUCCAUGUGUAGCGGUGAAAUGCGUAGAUAUAUGGAGGAACACCGGUGGCGAAAGCGGCUCUCUGGCUUGUAACUGACGCUGAGGCUCGAAAGCGUGGGGAGCAAACAGG
Molecule: ribosomal RNA, 765 nt
Filed under: uncultured Streptococcus sp.
Lineage: Bacteria; Bacillati; Bacillota; Bacilli; Lactobacillales; Streptococcaceae
Description: bacterial SSU rRNA
Rfam family: Bacterial small subunit ribosomal RNA
Source: RNAcentral